Molecule: ribosomal RNA, 1231 nt
Filed under: Magicicada tredecassini (thirteen-year cicada)
Lineage: Eukaryota; Metazoa; Arthropoda; Insecta; Hemiptera; Cicadidae
Description: 16S ribosomal RNA
Rfam family: Archaeal large subunit ribosomal RNA (bases 1006-1165)
Source: RNAcentral
AUAAUAAUUUAAAUUUAUGAUUAAUUUAUUGAGAUUACUUUAAGUAAAAAUAAUUAUUUAGUUUAAGUACCGCUUAUGGAAAAAAUGUUUUUAAUUGAACUGUGAAGAUUAAACAGUAAAUAUAAAUAAGUAAAAUUAUAAUUUGUACCUUUUGUAUCAGGGUUAAUUAAUUAUAUAUAAAAAUUUAUUUUUCCCGAAUUAUAGUGAUUUAAGGUUAUUUGUCAAUUAUUGUGAUAUAAAUAUUAAUAAAAUAAUUUUAGUGAUGAAACUUCUUUCGAACUAUAAUAUUUCUGGUUUCUUAAGAAUUAAAUUUAAUUUAAAAUAAAUAUUAUAACUUAUAUUUUAAUAUAAAGUUUUAUAUUUAUUUAGUUAUAUUGAGGAUAAGCUAAGUAUAAUUUCUAUAAUAUUUUAAGUUUUAAUUAAUUAAAUAGGCUUGCAAUUAGCCUUUUUAUGUGAGUAAGUUAAAUUUUAUUUUUUAUUUAAAUACAUUUAAUAUAUUUUAGGUAUAUAUUAAGAAAAUUAAAUUAAUAAAAGUAUUUUUAUUAAAAUGAUUAAAUUAGUAAAUUACAAUAAAUUGUAUUUAAGAAUUAGGCAAAUAUAAUUUUCACCUGUUUACCAAAAACAUGUCCUUUAGAAAAAUAUUAAAGGUCUAUUCUGCCCAAUGAUAUUUUAAUGGCCGCGGUAAAUUGACCGUGCAAAGGUAGCAUAAUAAUUAGUCUUUUAAUUGAAGGCUUGUAUGAAUGAAUAGAUGAAAAAUUUUCUUUUUUAAUUAAAAUAGAUUGAAUUUAAAGUUUAAGUAAAAAAUCUUAAAUAAAUAAGUGGGACGAGAAGACCCUAUAGAAUUUUAAAUAAAUUUAUUUUACUAGAAUUAAGAAUUAAUAACUAGAAAAAUUGUUUUAUUUUUUGUUGGGGUGACAUUAUAAUAAGUAAAACUUUAAAUUAAUUUUUCAUAAAUUAAUGUUUAAUUGAUCCAGUUUUUUGAUUAUAAGAUUAAAUUACCUUAGGGAUAACAGCGUUAUUAGUUUGGAGAGUUCAUAUCGAUAAAUUAGAUUGCGACCUCGAUGUUGGAUUAAGAGAAGAGUUUAAAGCAAAAUUUAAAUAUUCUAGGUCUGUUCGACCUUUAAUUUCUUACAUGAUCUGAGUUCAAAUCGGCGUGAGCCAGGUUGGUUUCUAUCUACUAAUAUUUUUUUGAUAUUAGUACGAAAGGACCAUAUUAAAUAAUUUAAUUUAU